GGGGACGUUUUGGAUUCGACAGGGCGGUUGACGGUCAUAGGCUGCGAGUCUGAGCGCUGUUCUCAGUAAAAACGAGCAAAAAAAUAAACGCUACAAACAAUGUUGUAGAUGCCAGAAAUGCUUUCAGUGCAAGAGCACUAAAAGCAGCUUAAUUUAGUUUAAGUAGGCCUCUCAUACAGUCCAGCUUGCCGAUUGUAUGGGACAAUUAUGCAAGUUGCGCUCAAAUGAUGAGAAUUAGUUUGAGUUAAGAUUUUUUCUCAAAGUGCGUAACACUAUAAUCUGCUUUGUUAUAUCUUAGGUUGUGGUUACUUCCUUGAUAUAUCGAGAUAAUAGCUAACCUACGCUCGUAGAUGUUUAUGAAAGUCCGUUUUGGACAGGGGUUCGAUUCCCCUCGUCUCCACCA
Molecule: transfer-messenger RNA, 403 nt
Filed under: bacterium
Lineage: Bacteria
Rfam family: transfer-messenger RNA
About the family: Bacterial tmRNA, also known as 10Sa RNA or SsrA, is named for its dual tRNA and mRNA-like properties. Its role is to liberate the mRNA from a stalled ribosome.
Source: RNAcentral